AGAGUUUGAUCAUGGCUCAGGAUGAACGCUAGCGGCAGGCCUAACACAUGCAAGUCGAGGGGUAACAGGGAGUGCUUGCACUCUGCUGACGACCGGCGCACGGGUGCGUAACGCGUAUACAAUCUACCUUUUACUGGGGGAUAGCCUUUAGAAAUGAAGAUUAACACCCCAUGGUCUAUAGAAACGGCAUCGUUUUUAUAGUAAAGGUUACGGUAAAAGAUGAGUAUGCGUCCUAUUAGUUAGUUGGUAAGGUAACGGCUUACCAAGACAACGAUAGGUAGGGGCCCUGAGAGGGGGACCCCCCACACUGGUACUGAGACACGGACCAGACUCCUACGGGAGGCAGCAGUGAGGAAUAUUGGACAAUGGAGGCAACUCUGAUCCAGCCAUGCCGCGCGCAGGAAGACUGCCCUAUGGGUUGUAAACUGCUUUUAUACAGGAAGAAACACUCCCACGCGUUGGGAAUUUGACGGUACUGUAAGAAUAAGGAUCGGCUAACUCCGUGCCAGCAGCCGCGGUAAUACGGAGGAUCCAAGCGUUAUCCGGAAUCAUUGGGUUUAAAGGGUCCGUAGGCGGGCAAUUAAGUCAGAGGUGAAAGUUUGCGGCUCAACCGU
Molecule: ribosomal RNA, 614 nt
Filed under: uncultured bacterium
Lineage: Bacteria
Description: bacterial SSU rRNA
Rfam family: Bacterial small subunit ribosomal RNA
Source: RNAcentral